This 1339-nucleotide ribosomal RNA is filed under the name uncultured bacterium. RNAcentral describes it as "bacterial SSU rRNA". It matches the Rfam family "Bacterial small subunit ribosomal RNA", at positions 28 to 1381 of the family's 1533-position model. The record is from RNAcentral.
GACGAACGCUGGCGGCGUGCUUAACACAUGCAAGUCGAACGGAAAGGCCCUUCGGGGUACUCGAGUGGCGAACGGGUGAGUAACACGUGGGUGAUCUGCCCUGCACUUUGGGAUAAGCCUGGGAAACUGGGUCUAAUACCGAAUAUGACCAUGCACUUCCUGGUGUGUGGUGGAAAGCUUUUGCGGUGUGGGAUGGGCCCGCGGCCUAUCAGCUUGUUGGUGGGGUAAUGGCCUACCAAGGCGACGACGGGUAGCCGGCCUGAGAGGGUGACCGGCCACACUGGGACUGAGAUACGGCCCAGACUCCUACGGGAGGCAGCAGUGGGGAAUAUUGCACAAUGGGCGCAAGCCUGAUGCAGCGACGCCGCGUGAGGGAUGACGGCCUUCGGGUUGUAAACCUCUUUCAGCACAGACGAAGCGCAAGUGACGGUAUGUGCAGAAGAAGGACCGGCCAACUACGUGCCAGCAGCCGCGGUAAUACGUAGGGUCCGAGCGUUGUCCGGAAUUACUGGGCGUAAAGAGCUCGUAGGUGGUUUGUCGCGUUGUACGUGAAAACUCACAGCUUAACUGUGGGCGUGCGGGCGAUACGGGCAGACUUGAGUACUGCAAGGGGAGACUGGAAUUCCUGGUGUAGCGGUGGAAUGCGCAGAUAUCAGGAGGAACACCGGUGGCGAAGGCGGGUCUCUGGGCAGUAACUGACGCUGAGGAGCGAAAGCGUGGGGAGCGAACAGGAUUAGAUACCCUGGUAGUCCACGCCGUAAACGGUGGGUACUAGGUGUGGGUUUCCUUCCUUGGGAUCCGUGCCGUAGCUAACGCAUUAAGUACCCCGCCUGGGGAGUACGGCCGCAAGGCUAAAACUCAAAGAAAUUGACGGGGGCCCGCACAAGCGGCGGAGCAUGUGGAUUAAUUCGAUGCAACGCGAAGAACCUUACCUGGGUUUGACAUGCACAGGACGCCAGUAGAGAUAUUGGUUCCCUUGUGGCCUGUGUGCAGGUGGUGCAUGGCUGUCGUCAGCUCGUGUCGUGAGAUGUUGGGUUAAGUCCCGCAACGAGCGCAACCCUUGUCCUAUGUUGCCAGCGGGUUAUGCCGGGGACUCGUAGGAGACUGCCGGGGUCAACUCGGAGGAAGGUGGGGAUGACGUCAAGUCAUCAUGCCCCUUAUGUCCAGGGCUUCACACAUGCUACAAUGGCCGGUACAAAGGGCUGCGAUGCCGUGAGGUGGAGCGAAUCCUUUCAAAGCCGGUCUCAGUUCGGAUCGGGGUCUGCAACUCGACCCCGUGAAGUCGGAGUCGCUAGUAAUCGCAGAUCAGCAACGCUGCGGUGAAUACGUUCUCGGGCCU